AUCAAACUGACGAAUGCCGAACAGGACGAAACACACGUCCUAGAU
Molecule: non-coding RNA, 45 nt
Filed under: Schistosoma curassoni
Lineage: Eukaryota; Metazoa; Platyhelminthes; Trematoda; Strigeidida; Schistosomatidae
Source: RNAcentral